RNAcentral lists this ribosomal RNA (157 nucleotides) under Aciculosporium take. RNAcentral describes it as "5.8S ribosomal RNA". It matches the Rfam family "5.8S ribosomal RNA". Rfam says of the family: 5.8S ribosomal RNA (5.8S rRNA) is a component of the large subunit of the eukaryotic ribosome. It is transcribed by RNA polymerase I as part of the 45S precursor that also contains 18S and 28S rRNA. Lineage: Eukaryota; Fungi; Ascomycota; Sordariomycetes; Hypocreales; Clavicipitaceae. The record is from RNAcentral.
AAACUUUCAACAACGGAUCUCUUGGCUCUGGCAUCGAUGAAGAACGCAGCGAAAUGCGAUAAGUAAUGUGAAUUGCAGAAUUCAGUGAAUCAUCGAAUCUUUGAACGCACAUUGCGCCCGCCAGCACUCUGGCGGGCAUGCCUGUUCGAGCGUCGUU